GUGCCAGCAGCCGCGGUAAUACGAAGGGGGCUAGCGUUGUUCGGAAUUACUGGGCGUAAAGCGCGCGUAGGCGGUGUGCAUAGUCAGGGGUGAAAUCCCGGGGCUCAACCUCGGAAUUGCCUUUGAUACUGGCACGCUUGAAUCCGUGAGAGGGUGGUGGAAUGGCCAGUGUAGAGGUGAAAUUCGUAGAUAUUGGCCGGAACACCAGUGGCGAAGGCGGCCACCUGGCGCGGUAUUGACGCUGAGGCGCGAAAGCGUGGGGAGCAAACAGGAUUAGAUACCCUGGUAGUCC
This 292-nucleotide ribosomal RNA is filed under the name uncultured microorganism. Its description in RNAcentral is "partial 16S ribosomal RNA". It matches the Rfam family "Bacterial small subunit ribosomal RNA", at positions 505 to 796 of the family's 1533-position model. The record is from RNAcentral.